This 31-nucleotide non-coding RNA is filed under the name Mus musculus (house mouse). Lineage: Eukaryota; Metazoa; Chordata; Mammalia; Rodentia; Muridae. The record is from RNAcentral.
UCUCAUCAUGCAGUGAAAUCCUGCUCUCAUC